This 497-nucleotide ribosomal RNA is filed under the name uncultured bacterium. RNAcentral describes it as "partial 16S ribosomal RNA". It matches the Rfam family "Bacterial small subunit ribosomal RNA", at positions 28 to 507 of the family's 1533-position model. The record is from RNAcentral.
GAUGAACGCUGGCGGCGUGCCUAAUACAUGCAAGUCGAGCGAACAGACGAGGAGCUUGCUCCUCUGACGUUAGCGGCGGACGGGUGAGUAACACGUGGAUAACCUACCUAUAAGACUGGGAUAACUUCGGGAAACCGUAGCUAAUACCGGAUAAUAUAUUGAACCGCAUGGUUCAAUAGUGAAAGACGGUUUUGCUGUCACUUAUAGAUGGAUCCGCGCCGCAUUAGCUAGUUGGUAAGGUAACGGCUUACCAAGGCAACGAUGCGUAGCCGACCUGAGAGGGUGAUCGGCCAGACUGGAACUGAGACACGGUCCAGACUCCUACGGGAGGCAGCAGUAGGGAAUCUUCCGCAAUGGGGGAAAGCGUGACGGAGCAACGCCGCGUGAGUGAUGAAGGUCUUCGGAUCGUAAAACGAUGUUAUUAGGGAAGAACAAAUGUGUAAGUAACUAUGCACGUCUUGACGGUACCUAAUCAGAAAGCCACGGCUAACUACGUG